UAGUUAGAUCUAGUUAGUAGAUCUACUAAUCAUCUAGAUCUAGAUCUAGUUAGUUAGUACAUCUAGAUCUAGUUAGUUAGUACAUCUAGUUAGUUAGUACAUCCAGAUCUAGUUAGUUAGUAGAUCUAGUUAGUUAGUAAUUAGUAGAUCUAGUUAGUUAGUAGAUCUAGUUAGUUAGUAGAUCUAGUUAGUUAAGUUAGUUAGUAGAUCUAGUUAGUUAGUAGAUGAUACUAGAUCUAGAUGUAGUUAGUUAGUAGAUCUAGUUAGUUAGUAGAUCUAGUUAGUUAGUAGUUCUAGAUCUAGUUAGUUAAGUUAGUUAGUAGAUCUAGUUAGUUAGUAGAUGAUACUAGAUGUAGUAAAAUGUAGUUAGUUAGUAGAUCUAGAUCUAGUUGGUGUUAGAUAGAUCUAGAACCUAGUAAUAGCUGGUAAGAUCCUUGUGGAAGUCAACCCUUUAGAUUUUGAUGUAUCUGUCUAGGCAAAUUGCCUGGUCUUAUAGAGUCUUUAUAACACUGGACUUCUGGAUGGUCUCGGAUUCCUAUUUUAAGUACUUCUUAUGGUGAACAGUGGUUCAGGCAAGACCCAAGUAUAUGGUCUAUAAUACUUGCUAAUUAUAUUGCAAGGGACACAAUAAGACUAGAUGUAACAUUUGAUGUGGGACACUCACAUGCCAGAUUUGUAGGCAACUUGGUGCUGAAUCUCAGAGAUUGUGGAGGGGUAGAUCGUGAUGGUCAAUUUUCUAAGGUUUCCACUGGACCAACUACAGCUCACUCAGCCCCUGUCACUCCCACCCACAACCCUAAUGAUAGCUUGGAUAUUGGCCGUAGAACAGGAUCAUAGUGAGGUUUCUUACAGGGCUUAUUAGGCUGUCUCAGACCCAUAUGGACAAUGCUUAGCAAGGCAGCUGCUGCAGAGUUAUAACAGCAAGGUGGCGAUUUUAUUGUUUACCAUGGAGUUGUCUACUUUUCAAAUUUUACUGACCAAGUUUUGUACAGUGACUGAUCCAUCAGCAGUUUCCGAAGCAGUAACUGAUAUCUCAAAAAAAUAUUGCUUUAUUGAUGGUGUCUGGUCACCUCAGAGGAUCAACAGGAUUUGUUCAUUGAAAGGUGUAGGCAGUUAAAGCAAAAGGACUGCAAUGUUUGUUUCAAGGACCAGACACAACAGAAUUUGACAACAUAUGUAUCGGAAGCUCAAAAUCAGAAACUGAAAUCUGCCCAUGUGGAGUGUCACCAGAGAAUGUUGACCAUCUUCUCCAAAACUGCUCUCUUUACCAAGAGGCUGUACAUGACACUGGCCCCAAAACACCCCAAUAGAAAGAAAACUAUAUGGAGAGUUCCCUGAUUUGGAAACCACUGUGAAAAUAAUCUCAUAUACUGGUCCAGUCAUCUGAAUGCUCCAAUAAAAAAAUGAGAAGGAAGAAGAAAGAAGAUUGGGAGCAACAUGGCUAUUGAAAAGCAGAGACCAUACAAACCUCAUUAGAUGAAGAGUUUUAUUUUGUUGGUAAAGUCCUUGGUUUUGAGCCAGCAGAGAAACAUAGAAAGCUCUAUUUUGACAAUAUAUAAAGAGUGACUUUAGCUCAACUCCUCACCAAGCUUUACAGUCUGUGACAUUUUUUUGGUACCCAUUAGAGCUGGGUGGACUCAAAGGCACCAUAAAGAUCCCAAAAUUAAAAUACCCAUCUUCACUAGGAUUUGAACCCAGGGUCCUUCUGUUUGGAAGUCAAGUGCUUUACCACUCAUCCACAUGCCUCUGUUAAAGGCUAGAUUUUGUGACAAUUAUUUUUAGGAGAGAGAAAGAUGUAUGCACAAAGUUGUAGCUUUUUUUAAAUUUUUAUUAAAUUUAUUUGUAUUUAACCACUGACUUAUUAAUCUCUGAAUUGUCAAAUUUAAGUUUGUAAUCAGUUAGUGUUGACCUUGGCUUGAUAGGCUAAAAGGAUUAACAAUAAUAAUAAUAAUAAUUAUAGCUUGUAUGUAGUGCUACUUUCAUGCUUACAGCAUGCUCAGAGUGCUGUGUUCCAAUCUUAUGUGUGGACCAGUAGGGGGGGGGGGGGAUUUGGGAGAGGGUUUUCCGUGCUGCCUUCGGGUACUCAGUAAACAGAACUCUGCUUGAGUCGUGUGUUGAACCUAGAGUCACCUUGAUAGGUAGCCAAGCCAAGCCAAGUUCAAGCAUACUUAGCCUCUUGACCACGCCUCCACAUUGAAAUUAAAUUGUAAAUGUUAAAUAUUUUUAAAAAUUUAAUACAGAAUUUGAUAUUUAUGAAAUAUUUAAUACAGAAUUUGAUAUUGAUGAAAAAUUUAAUACAGAAUUUGAUAUUGAUUACAAAAAAUAAUACAGAAUUUGAUAUUGAUACCAUUUCUUUCAUUUGUGUGUGUGUGUGUUUCCAAUAAUAUUUCUAUGAAUGUACAAUUUAUUCUCUAGAUAAAGAUUCAUUUUCUGUUUUGUAAGGCAGCUCUCAAUCCUCAGUGUUAUGAGCAUAAUGAUAACAGAGUCGAAAACCAUGUCAUCUUAGUAUGGCUUUAAUACACUG
Biomphalaria glabrata is the source of this 2524-nucleotide long non-coding RNA. RefSeq lists it as uncharacterized. The record is from RefSeq and is a predicted model, not a curated record. The transcript has 10 exons. NCBI's taxonomy places the organism in Eukaryota, Metazoa, Mollusca, Gastropoda, Planorbidae.